RNAcentral lists this ribosomal RNA (279 nucleotides) under uncultured bacterium. RNAcentral describes it as "partial 16S ribosomal RNA". It matches the Rfam family "Bacterial small subunit ribosomal RNA", at positions 506 to 784 of the family's 1533-position model. The record is from RNAcentral.
UGCCAGCAGCCCCGGUAAUACGGAGGGCGCAACUGUUACUCGGAAUCACUGGGCGUAAAGAGCGUGUAGGCGGGUUAAUAAGUUUGAGGUGAAAUCCAAUGGCUCAACCAUUGAACUGCUUUGAAAACUGUUAACCUAGAAUAUGGGAGAGGUAGAUGGGAUUUCUGGUGUAGGGGUAAAAUCCGUAGAGAUCAGAAGGAAUACCGAUUGCGAAGGCGAUCUACUGGAACAUUAUUGACGCUGGGACGCGAAAGCGUGGGGAGCAAACAGGAUUAGAUA